Molecule: ribosomal RNA, 891 nt
Filed under: Triticum aestivum (bread wheat)
Lineage: Eukaryota; Viridiplantae; Streptophyta; Magnoliopsida; Poales; Poaceae
Description: partial small subunit ribosomal RNA
Source: RNAcentral
AUGGGUAGGGUCGAUCUUUCUCGUCUAAACUACGAGGCCAUUAGCCUGAUUCCUAAGGUGAAAGGGGCCGAUAACAUUAAGCUCUUUAGGCCCAUCACCCUGAUUAAUGUGCCUUUCAAAAUCUGUGCGAAAGCCUAUGCUGCACGACUGGCCCCGAUCGCUGAACGGGUUAUUAUCACUAGUCAGACGGGCUUUCUUAAGCGUAGGAACAUCUUGGAGGGCCCAAUUGCACUGCAAGAAAUCGUUCACGAGUUAAAGCGCACUAGGGCCCAGGGCGUGCUCCUCAAAUUAGACUUCGAGAAAGCUUAUGAUCGCGUGAACUGGGAGUUCGUGCGAGAAGUCUUCCUCAAAAAGGGUUUUGAGGCAGGUUUCGUGCAUCGCAUCAUGCACCUCGUGGGUAGUGGGCACACGGCGGUCACUAUCAAUGGCAACAUGGGCAAGUUCUUCCGUAACAAACGGGGCCUUCGGCAGGGAGAUCCAAGCUCGCCUCUUAUUUUUAACUUUGUUGCGGAUGCCUUGGCGGCCAUGAUUAACAAAGAGCGUGUAGCAGGGCAUGUUGAAGGGUUAGUACCCCACCUCAUCCCUGGUGGGGUCACGCACUUGCAAUACGUCGAUGACAUGAUGCUCUUGUUCGAGCCCGACGAUCAAAGCAUAGCUACCAUUAAGCUUCUGUUAAUCGCUUUUGAGAUUCUAUCAGGUCUUAAGAUCAAUUUCCUUAAGAGUGAAGUGAUCACCAUCGUGGUGGAUGAUCCGGAAAGGGCUCGGAUUGCCAAUCUACUUAAUUGCAAGCUGGGGAGCUUCCCGAUUAAGUACCUUGGCGUCCGAUUUCGACCAAGAAACUCUCCAUUGUGGAAUGGGAACCUCUAUAUGGGAAGGUCGCAAAUGGGGUGA